Molecule: ribosomal RNA, 429 nt
Filed under: Pseudomonadota bacterium
Lineage: Bacteria; Pseudomonadati; Pseudomonadota
Description: Proteobacteria bacterium partial 16S ribosomal RNA
Rfam family: Bacterial small subunit ribosomal RNA
Source: RNAcentral
UGGGGAAUAUUGGACAAUGGGCGAAAGCCUGAUCCAGCCAUGCCGCGUGUGUGAAGAAGGUCUUCGGAUUGUAAAGCACUUAAAGUUGGGAGGAAGGGCAGUAAGCGAAUACCUUGCUGUUUUGACGUUACCGACAGAAUAAGCACCGGCUAACUCUGUGCCAGCAUCCGCGGUAAUACAGAGGGUGCAAGCGUUAAUCGGAAUUACUGGGCGUAAAGCGCGCGUAGGUGGUUCGUUAAGUUGAAUGUGAAAGCCCCGGGCUCAACCUGGGAACUGCAUCCAAAACUGGCGAGCUAGAGUAGGGCAGAGGGUGGUGGAAUUUCCUGUGUAGCGGUGAAAUGCGUAGAUAUAGGAAGGAACACCAGUGGCGAAGGCGACCACCUGGGCUCAUACUGACACUGAGGUGCGAAAGCGUGGGGAGCAAACAGG